RNAcentral lists this ribosomal RNA (459 nucleotides) under uncultured bacterium. RNAcentral describes it as "partial 16S ribosomal RNA". It matches the Rfam family "Bacterial small subunit ribosomal RNA", at positions 338 to 795 of the family's 1533-position model. The record is from RNAcentral.
CCUACGGGAUGCAGCAGUGAGGAAUAUUGGUCAAUGGACGCAAGUCUGAACCAGCCAUGCCGCGUGCAGGAAGACGGCUCUAUGAGUUGUAAACUGCUUUUGUACGAGGGUAAACGCCGAUACGCGUAUCUGUCUGAAAGUAUCGUACGAAUAAGGAUCGGCUAACUCCGUGCCAGCAGCCGCGGUAAUACGGAGGAUUCAAGCGUUAUCCGGAUUUAUUGGGUUUAAAGGGUGCGAAGGCGGGGUGCUAAGUCAGCGGGAAAAAUGCGGUGCUCAACGCCGUCUAGCCGUUGAAACUGGCGUUCUUGAGUAGGCGAGAGGUAUGCGGAAUGCGUGGUGUAGCGGUGAAAUGCUUAGAUAUCACGCAGAACUCCGAUUGCGAAGGCAGCAUACCGGCCCCCUACUGACGCUGAGGCACGAAAGCGUGGGUAUCGAACAGGAUUAGAUACCCGAGUAGUC